Spodoptera frugiperda (fall armyworm) is the source of this 196-nucleotide long non-coding RNA. RefSeq lists it as uncharacterized. The record is from RefSeq and is a predicted model, not a curated record. Lineage: Eukaryota; Metazoa; Arthropoda; Insecta; Lepidoptera; Noctuidae. The transcript is spliced from 2 exons.
AACUCUUUUUACCCGACUGCGCCAGAAGGAGGGUUAUGUUUUUCGAGUGUAUGUAUGUAUGUAUGUAUGUAUGUAUAAUUGUUUGGCACGCUCUGCAGCCUAAACGGCUUGAUGGAUUUUGACUUGAGAGGUGUCGUUAGAUUCGUAUUUACUGUGAGAGUGACACUGGAUAUAUCAAAAUAAUAAAAAAACAAAA